CAUUGCUCAUUUUUGCCUAUUCAUUAUUUGAAAAUAUAUUUGCAGUGGGUUAUUAUGUAUGACUUUCUAAAACUAAUAACAAAUACUAUUGUUGGUGACAAAUUGGUUAUGAAUCAAGCAACAUCGAGGGUGCCAUUCGGGACACAUUAAAUUGAGCCAAAAAAUAAUGUUUUUGCUAGAUUGUAUAUGUAUAUUAAUAUUGUCAAAAAUAUUACUAUUUUUA
Molecule: long non-coding RNA, 223 nt
Organism: Hydra vulgaris (swiftwater hydra)
Lineage: Eukaryota; Metazoa; Cnidaria; Hydrozoa; Anthoathecata; Hydridae
Source: RefSeq, a predicted model, not a curated record